RNAcentral lists this transfer RNA (77 nucleotides) under bacterium. Its description in RNAcentral is "tRNA-Asp". It matches the Rfam family "tRNA". Rfam says of the family: Transfer RNA (tRNA) molecules are approximately 80 nucleotides in length. Their secondary structure includes four short double-helical elements and three loops (D, anti-codon, and T loops). The record is from RNAcentral.
GCGGUCGUAGUUAAGUCGGUUAUAACGCCGGCCUGUCACGUCGGAGGCCGCCGGUUCGAACCCGGUCGACCGCGCCA